This 461-nucleotide long non-coding RNA is filed under the name Vulpes vulpes (red fox). RNAcentral's name for it is "lncRNA (ENSVVUG00000009756.1)". The record is from RNAcentral. Lineage: Eukaryota; Metazoa; Chordata; Mammalia; Carnivora; Canidae.
GCUAGAUGUCAUGGUCUAGGAAGAAACCUUGACCCUUUGAGCUCUGUGGCUUUUCCAGUGUAUGAUUAGACAAAGUCCAGACCCUUCCCUGUGAAAUUAGAAUGAGGAUUAAGUAGCAGUUAUACUGGUAGGGCAUUGUCUCCGGCUCUAUCUUAGCAGCUCAUGUUCAUAAUUGUUCUUGGAACUAGCUGUUCCUUUGGAGUCAGGACUUAUAGUUGACCAAGAUCACGGGUGCCUUCAACACUGAUCUCCAUGGAACUCUGCACGAGGUAAUUUCUCUUCUGAGAGGCCAGCAUCCAGCGAAUCAGUCCUGAGCUUUGAACUGUGUGCACUGUGAAACAUAUUUGCAAAAGUCACCAAAUAAGGUGCUCUUUCAACUUUUAAUUGUAAGAAAAAUUACGGAACUAGGGACUUCUCUUUCUACUUCAGUAGCUGUAGGAAAUCUGCAUAUUGGUUCGUAU